GACGAACGCUGGCGGCGUGCUUAACACAUGCAAGUCGAACGAAGAGCGAUGGAAGCUUGCUUCUAUCAAUCUUAGUGGCGAACGGGUGAGUAACGCGUAAUCAACCUGCCCUUCAGAGGGGGACAACAGUUGGAAACGACUGCUAAUACCGCAUACGAUCUAAUCUCGGCAUCGAGGAUAGAUGAAAGGUGGCCUCUACAUGUAAGCUAUCACUGAAGGAGGGGAUUGCGUCUGAUUAGCUAGUUGGAGGGGUAACGGCCCACCAAGGCGAUGAUCAGUAGCCGGCCUGAGAGGAUGAACGGCCACAUUGGGACUGAGACACGGCCCAGACUCCUACGGGAGGCAGCAGUGGGGAAUCUUCCGCAAUGGACGAAAGUCUGACGGAGCAACGCCGCGUGAGUGAUGACGGCCUUCGGGUUGUAAAGCUCUGUUAAUCGGGACGAAAGGCCUUCUUGCGAAUAGUGAGAAGGAUUGACGGUACCGGAAUAGAAAGCCACGGCUAACUACGUG
This 510-nucleotide ribosomal RNA is filed under the name uncultured bacterium. RNAcentral's name for it is "partial 16S ribosomal RNA". It matches the Rfam family "Bacterial small subunit ribosomal RNA", at positions 28 to 507 of the family's 1533-position model. The record is from RNAcentral.